AGAACGAACGCUGGCGGCAGGCUUAACACAUGCAAGUCGAGCGCCUCGCAAGAGGAGCGGCAGACGGGUGAGUAACACGUGGGAAUCUACCCAUCCUUACGGAACAACUCCGGGAAACUGGAGCUAAAUACCGUAUACGCCCUUCGGGGGAAAGAUUUAUCGAGGAUGGAUGAGCCCGCGUUGGAUUAGCUAGUUGGUGGGGUAAAGGCCUACCAAGGCGACGAUCCAUAGCUGGUCUGAGAGGAUGAUCAGCCACAUUGGGACUGAGACACGGCCCAAACUCCUACGGGAGGCAGCAGUGGGGAAUAUUGGACAAUGGGCGCAAGCCUGAUCCAGCCAUGCCGCGUGAGUGAUGAAGGCCCUAGGGUUGUAAAGCUCUUUCACCGGAGAAGAUAAUGACGGUAUCCGGAGAAGAAGCCCCGGCUAACUUCGUGCCAGCAGCCGC
RNAcentral lists this ribosomal RNA (445 nucleotides) under uncultured bacterium. RNAcentral's name for it is "SSU rRNA". It matches the Rfam family "Bacterial small subunit ribosomal RNA", at positions 26 to 518 of the family's 1533-position model. The record is from RNAcentral.